UAACAAGGAUUCCCCUAGUAACUGCGAGUGAAGCGGGAAAAGCUCAAAUUUAAAAUCUGUCAGCCUUUGGCUGUCCGAGUUGUAAUCUAGAGAAGUGUUAUCCGCGCUGGACCGUGUACAAGUCUCCUGGAAUGGAGCGUCAUAGAGGGUGAGAAUCCCGUCUUUGACACGGACUGCCAGGGCUUUGUGAUGCGCUCUCAAAGAGUCGAGUUGUUUGGGAAUGCAGCUCAAAAUGGGUGGUAAAUUCCAUCUAAAGCUAAAUAUUGGCGAGAGACCGAUAGCGAACAAGUACCGUGAGGGAAAGAUGAAAAGAACUUUGGAAAGAGAGUUAAACAGUACGUGAAAUUGCUGAAAGGGAAACGCUUGAAGUCAGUCGCGUUGUCCAGGGAUCAACCUUGCUUUUGCUUGGUGUACUUUCUGGUUAACGGGUCAGCAUCAAUUUUGACUGUUGGAAAAAGAUCAGGGGAAUGUGGCAUCUUCGGAUGUGUUAUAGCCCUUGGUUGCAUACAAUGGUUGGGAUUGAGGAACUCAGCACGCCGCAAGGCCGGGUUUUAACCACGUACGUGCUUAGGAUGCUGGCAUAAUGGCUUUAAUCGACCCGUCUUGAAACACGGACCAAGGAGUCUAACAUGCCUGCGAGUGUUUGGGUGGAAAACCCGAGCGCGUAAUGAAAGUGAAAGUUGAGAUCCUUGUCAUGGGGAGCAUCGACGCCCGGACCAGACCUUUUGUGACGGUUCCGCGGUAGAGCAUGUAUGUUGGGACCCGAAAGAUGGUGAACUAUGCCUGAAUAGGGUGAAGCCAGAGGAAACUCUGGUGGAGGCUCGUAGCGAUUCUGACGUGCAAAUCGAUCGUCAAAUUUGGGUAUAGGGGCGAAAGAC
This 878-nucleotide ribosomal RNA is filed under the name Cortinarius porphyroideus. RNAcentral's name for it is "eukaryotic LSU rRNA". It matches the Rfam family "Eukaryotic large subunit ribosomal RNA", at positions 66 to 931 of the family's 3401-position model. Lineage: Eukaryota; Fungi; Basidiomycota; Agaricomycetes; Agaricales; Cortinariaceae. The record is from RNAcentral.